UUUCUGCAAGGUGCUGCAUGGUUGUCGUCAGCUCGUGCCGUGAGGUGUCGGGUUAAGUCCCAUAACGAGCGCAACCCUUAUCGUUAGUUGCCAUCUGGUAAUGCAGGGGACUCUAGCGAAACUGCCACCGUAAGGUGAGAGGAAGUGGGAUGACGUCAAAUCAGCACGGCCCUUAUGUCCAGGGCUACACACGUGUUACAAUGGUCGGUACAGAGGGCAGCUACCUGGUGACAGGAUGCUAAUCUCGAAAACCGGUCUCAGUUCGGAUCGAAGUCUGCAACUCGACUUCGUGAAGCUGGAUUCGCUAGUAAUCGCGCAUCAGCUAUGGCGCGGUGAAUACGUUCCCGGGCCUU
RNAcentral lists this ribosomal RNA (353 nucleotides) under uncultured Sphingobacteriales bacterium. Its description in RNAcentral is "bacterial SSU rRNA". It matches the Rfam family "Bacterial small subunit ribosomal RNA", at positions 1028 to 1382 of the family's 1533-position model. Lineage: Bacteria; Pseudomonadati; Bacteroidota; Sphingobacteriia; Sphingobacteriales. The record is from RNAcentral.